Molecule: ribosomal RNA, 200 nt
Filed under: uncultured bacterium
Lineage: Bacteria
Description: partial 16S ribosomal RNA
Rfam family: Bacterial small subunit ribosomal RNA
Source: RNAcentral
AGCGAACGCUGGCGGCAGGCCUAACACAUGCAAGUCGAACGAACUCUUCGGAGUUAGUGGCGGACGGGUGAGUAACACGUGGGAACGUGCCUUUAGGUUCGGAAUAACUCAGGGAAACUUGUGCUAAUACCGAAUGUGCCCUUCGGGGGAAAGAUUUAUCGCCUUUAGAGCGGCCCGCGUCUGAUUAGCUAGUUGGUGAG